AUUGAACGCUGGCGGCAUGCCUUACACAUGCAAGUCGAACGGCAGCACGGGAGCAAUCCUGGUGGCGAGUGGCGAACGGGUGAGUAAUAUAUCGGAACGUGCCCGGUCGUGGGGGAUAACGUAGCGAAAGCUACGCUAAUACCGCAUACGAUCUAUGGAUGAAAGCGGGGGAUCGCAAGACCUCGCGCGAUUGGAGCGGCCGAUAUCAGAUUAGGUAGUUGGUGAGGUAAAGGGCUCACCAAGCCGACGAUCUGUAGCUGGUCUGAGAGGACGACCAGCCACACUGGGACUGAGACACGGCCAGACUCCUACGGGAGGCAGCAGUGGGGAAUUUGGACAAUGGGCGCAAGCCUGAUCCAGCAAUGCCGCGUGCAGGAUGAA
Molecule: ribosomal RNA, 381 nt
Filed under: uncultured bacterium
Lineage: Bacteria
Description: bacterial SSU rRNA
Rfam family: Bacterial small subunit ribosomal RNA
Source: RNAcentral